GGAUCCAGACUUUGAUCAUGGCUCACGAUGAACGCUAGCUACAGGCUUAACACAUGCAAGUCGAGGGGCAGCGGGAUUGAAGCUUGCUUCAAUUGCCGGCGACCGGCGCACGGGUGAGUAACGCGUAUCCAACCUUCCGUACACUCAGGGAUAGCCUUUCGAAAGAAAGAUUAAUACCUGAUAGUAUCUUAAGCACACAUGUAAUUAAGAUUAAAGAUUUAUCGGUGUACGAUGGGGAUGCGUUCCAUUAGGUAGUAGGCGGGGUAACGGCCCACCUAGCCAACGAUGGAUAGGGGUCCUGAGAGGAAGGUCCCCCACAUUGGAACUGAGACACGGUCCAAACUCCUACGGGAGGCAGCAGUGAGGAAUAUUGGUCAAUGGACGAGAGUCUGAACCAGCCAAGUAGCGUGAAGGAUGAAGGUCCUACGGAUUGUAAACUUCUUUUAUAAGGGAAUAAACCCUCCCACGUGUGGGAGCUUGUAUGUACCUUAUGAAUAAGCAUCGGCUAACUCCGUGCCAGCAGCCGCGGUAAUACGGAGGAUGCGAGCGUUAUCCGGAUUUAUUGGGUUUAAAGGGAGCGCAGACGGGUCGUUAAGUCAGCUGUGAAAGUUUGGGGCUCAACCUUAAAAUUGCAGUUGAUACUGGCGUCCUUGAGUGCGGUUGAGGUGUGCGGAAUUCGUGGUGUAGCGGUGAAAUGCUUAGAUAUCACGAAGAACUCCGAUUGCGAAGGCAGCACACUAAUCCGUAACUGACGUUCAUGCUCGAAAGUGUGGGUAUCAAACAGGAUUAGAUACCCCGGUAGUCCACACGGUAAACGAUGGAUACUCGCUGUUGGCGAUAACUGUCAGCGGCUUAGCGAAAGCGUUAAGUAUCCCACCUGGGGAGUACGCCGGCAACGGUGCAACUCAAAUGAAUUGACGG
RNAcentral lists this ribosomal RNA (921 nucleotides) under uncultured bacterium. RNAcentral describes it as "bacterial SSU rRNA". It matches the Rfam family "Bacterial small subunit ribosomal RNA", at positions 1 to 916 of the family's 1533-position model. The record is from RNAcentral.